RNAcentral lists this ribosomal RNA (460 nucleotides) under uncultured bacterium. RNAcentral's name for it is "partial 16S ribosomal RNA". It matches the Rfam family "Bacterial small subunit ribosomal RNA", at positions 338 to 795 of the family's 1533-position model. The record is from RNAcentral.
CCUACGGGAGGCAGCAGUGAGGAAUAUUGGUCAAUGGACGCAAGUCUGAACCAGCCAUGCCGCGUGCAGGAAGACGGCUCUAUGAGUUGUAAACUGCUUUUGUACCAGGGUAAACGCAGAUACGCGUAUCUUUUUGAAAGUAUCGUACGAAUAAGGAUCGGCUAACUCUGUGCCAGCAGCCGCGGUAAUACGGAGGAUUCAAGCGUUAUCCGGAUUUAUUGGGUUUAACGGGUGCGUAGGCGGUCGGAUAAGUUAGAGGUGAAAUCCCGAGGCUCAACUUCGGCGUUGCCUCUGAUACUGUUGGGCUAGAGAGCAGAUGCGGUAGGCGGAAUGUGUGGUGUAGCGGUGAAAUGCUUAGAGAUCAUACAGAACACCGAUUGCGAAGGCAGCUUGCCAGGCUGCAUCUGACGUUGAGGCACGAAAGCGUGGGGAGCGAACAGGAUUAGAUACCCCUGUAGUC